Molecule: unclassified non-coding RNA, 343 nt
Filed under: soil metagenome
Description: partial contains 5.8S ribosomal RNA, internal transcribed spacer 2, and large subunit ribosomal RNA
Rfam family: 5.8S ribosomal RNA (bases 1-120)
Source: RNAcentral
GAUGAAGAACGCAGCGAAACGCGAUAAGUAAUGUGAAUUGCAGAAACCAGUGAAUCAUCGAAUCUUUGAACGCACAUUGCGCCCGCCAGCAUUCUGGCGGGCAUGCCUGUUCGAGCGUCAUUUCAACCCUCGACCUCCCCUUGGGGAGGUCGGCGUUGGGGACCGGCAGCACACCGCCGGCCCUGAAAUGGAGUGGCGGCCCGUCCGCGGCGACCUCUGCGCAGUAAUACAGCUCGCACCGGGACCCCGACGCGGCCACGCCGUAAAACACCCAACUUCUGAACGUUGACCUCGAAUCAGGUAGGACUACCCGCUGAACUUAAGCAUAUCAAUAAGCGGAGGA